AGUUAAUACUUACAAUACACUGUGAGGUAAAUGCUACAGUUUUAGCUUAUAGCCCAGAAAGCUAGCUCAGAGAAAUGAGAUGUCUGAAUACUACUUAACUGCAAGCUUCUGUGACCCAUUUGGCUAUCUCUACUUCCACCCAUAUUUUUUCUCCACUCAAAGCUAUCAUUUGUCAUUUCCUUGCUAUUUUAUAAUUUUUAUUUUAUAAUCAGUUAUUUCAACACAUAACCUCAUGAGGUAUCUUUUGUGCAUAAUUCUGAUUAGAUUUUAAUACCACUAAUAUUUUCUUCUUUAGGAAAGGUGUUCUUGUUUACUUUCAGAUGAUAUUAUGUGUCUUGGAUCCAAGGUGGGAAAAGGGGAUAGUCAUGGAAAGAAAAUAUUAAGCCCAUCAUCAAGCAGGGUUUUAACUUCUCUUCCACUCUCUCUUUAUUUCUUGCUUUUAGAGAAUUUGAAGAAUUGACUGUGAAUGCCAUCUUGGAAUUCUGAUCUCUCAGAUCUCAGAGAUACCCAUAGUUUACUUUUAGGUCAAGCUGAAUCUCUACAUCACUAAGAGAUUCCUUGAUGGAAGUGAGAGAUGGCCAAGUGGGAAGAAAGUGGAACCAAUGGGAAAGCCUUCACUACAUAGCAUCAUUGGCUUUGGAAUUAACAGCUUCAGAUGCCAAACAUGGAUGAAAUGCUGACUUUGAGCAACUGUUUGGAUCAGCAGGUGUGACAAAACUCCUGAAAAAGCAGCUUCAUAAAGAAAGGUUUUCUUUUGGCUUUUAGUUUCUUCGUUUCGGAGAAUGUAUGGCAGAAUGGCUCAGGCUGUGGAUGGAAGAAAAGCCAGCAGACAUCCAUAUCCGCAUUCUACACCUCCUGGCCUGUGAUGAUAUGAGCUUCUCUGCUCUGCCAUGCACUGCCUGCCAUGAUGGACUGAGCCCUCUGAGGUCAUGAAAAAAGGAUGGACUGAGCCCUCUGAGGUCAUGAAAGAAUUUUCCCUACCAGGACACAAGGCUGACACCUUCUACUGAGGACUAUGGAAUUAGUCAGGAACCAACACAGCCUGGAGGAGCAAUGCCUAUAGGAUCACACUAUCCAUGAGCAAAGAAAGAUUGCAAGAACUUCAAAAAGAACCCAGAACAAGACAGAGAACACACUGUUCCAAGCCAUGGAGUAGUAGAGAAAGGUUUCCCAGUAUGUGCUCUACAGACUGGCAGCAUCCACACCUCUUUUUUUUUGGUGGUAGAGCAUAAAUACUCUCUACUACCACAAAUUAUGCAGCCGACUUUCCUGCAUUUGGAGAAAUCAUGGGUUAGCAUCCCUGGAGUGCAAUGGAUGAGCCUCACCUUAGGAAAAUCACCCUCAUGAUCAUGAGAUCUCCCCUGCCAGGAGGAUCAUCAGCAUGGUGUAAAGCUAACCAUGGUCCUGGGAGUCAGACUGCCUGGGCUCAACAUGACUUUGUGUUUCCAGCGGAUUCAUUCACCUUAGUUCUAACCUGGCACCGAAGUCCUUGGAAACUCCUGGAGAAUCAUUGGUCUUCUUCUGUGCAUUCUGGAAAGCCAAAGGAGAUGGUAUCUGAUGUCAGCAGAGAACGACAGUGACAGCAACAGAGAAAGAUGCUCAGGAAGAAGGCGGCAGGCAUGCAGGCAGUGCUGAUUAUGUGGGAGCCACAGGUGUAUGUGAUGUGACCUGCUGCUUCAAACUCCUGCUACUAUGGCUUCCCUGCUGUGAUGGUUUGCAACUUAAACUCUUCUCUCCUGCAUGAUGCUGAAGAGCAGGUGCCUUGUCUGUCUUCUUUGUGCCUUGUGAGCACUUGCUGGGACAGAGUGGACACUUAACUGAGAUCUGUGGAUGAAUGAUAAAGCAGUAGUGUGGAUACUCUAGGAGCAUCUUGCUCAACAGUCUCUUUUGGAUCCUCAUAAUUCUCCCUUUUCUAGGACACCUGUAUUUCUUGCCUGUAAAUUGGAAGAUUUUUAAGAAGCUGGAUACACAAGGAGUAAGAUGAACAGUCAGAAAGCCUUACUCUCAGAAUGACUUCUGCAAGGGAAUGUGUGGAAGAGAAGCAGUGUAUGGUAUAGAAACAAGAACAGGCUAUUCUCUGAGUACAUGGGGAGGGAAAAUGACAUGCAGAGUGGGUAUCCAAGUCCAUGGAAUGGAACGGCUCACAUUUAUGAUGGAUCUUCACCUCAAUCAGCCUAACCUAGAUGAUCCCCUACAGACAACUCAUUUCAAUGAACCUUUCUCACAGCUUUCCUUGGGAAGAGAGAUGUCCAGCAGCAGCAAGUUCAAGCUCAAAGGAAAUAAAAAGAUUUGGCCAUGCUACAGGCAUCUGUGAUAGAAGACCAGGAGACCCCAUUUGUGGAUUGCUGCUCUGAGAGUCUGUGCUACUGGUCUUAUAUUCAAGAAGUUGUCUCCUAUGCCAAUGUGUUCAAGGCUUCUUCUUACUUUGUCUUCUACCAGACUCCUGCUGAUGGUGAAGGGCUGAGUUUGGUUAUGAGAACUCGUCAGGACAGCCACUACUGGCAGUGGCCAUGCCAAUAUUGUGGGCUGGGGUUCCCAUGUACAAGACAGGUGCUGUUCAGAUACAGCCACAAUCACAAUCAAGUUUGUUGUGGCCAGAAAUAUGUAAAAGAGUCUCAAACUAAGAACUCUGUCACUUCACAGAAACAAGGCUUGAAGUUGUUUUGAACUAGGACUCUUCUAAAUAUCCUGAAUUCCAGUCUCAUCCAUUGACUAUGAGAGGAACAAGACUUUAUCCACACUAUGACUCUAAGAAGAAGUUGAAAUGUGGUAUAUUUAUACAAUGGAGUACUAUUCAGCAGAAAAAUGCAAUGGAAUCUUGAAAUUCGCAGGCAAAUGGAUGGAACUAGAAGAAACAAUCCUGAGUGAGGUAACCCAAUCACAAAAAGACAAACAUGGUAUGUACUCACUCAUAUAUGAUUUUUAGACAUAGAGCAAAGGUUUACCAGCCUAUAAUCCUCUUCCCCAAAGAAACUAGAAAUCAUGAAUGACUCUAAGGGAUAAAUGGACCCCAGGAAUGGGAAGUGGCAUGAACUCCCGAGCUAAUUGAGAGCAUGAGGGUAGGGGAGUGGGUGCUGCCACAAUAAGAGCACAAGAAGAAGAGGAGAGGAGAAGAAAUGGAGAAGCAGAUAUAUUGAGUUGGGGGAAGAAUAGAGGAGAGAGAGCAGGAUAAGAGAUACCAUAUCAGAGGGAGCCACUAUAGGUCCGACAAGAGAUCUGGAACUAGAAAGAUCUCCAGAGACCUACAAGGAUGACACGAUCUGACAGUCCAGGCAGUGGAGGAGAGGAUGGCCUAGAAGCCCUUCCCCUAGAAUGAGAUUGAUGACUACUCUCUAUGCUAUCCUAGAGUCCUCAUCCAGUGGCUGAUGGAAGCAGAGACAGACAUCCACAGAAAUACACUGAGCUGAAAUCUGGAACCUAGUUGAAGAGAGGGAGGAAUGAAGAACGAAGGGGUCUGUACCAGAGACUUCAUCCAGUAGCUGUUCGAAGCAGAAACAGGCACCCACAGCUAAGCACUGAACCAUACUCCUGGAAUCCAGUUGUGGAGACGGAGGACAGAUGAGCAAAGGAGCCAAAACAGUGCUGCAGAAACCCGCAGAAACAGUUGACCUGACCUAGUGAGAGCAUGGAGACACUAGUCAUAAAACUGCAGAAACAGCAUUGGACCGAACCAAGCCCUCUGAAUGUGGGUGCCAGCUAGGUAGCCAAGUCAGUCUAUGGGACCUCUAACAGUGGAGCCAGUCUUUAACCCUAGAGCACAAAUGGACUUUGGGAGCCCAUUCCCUAUGGAGGGAUACUAUUGUAGCUCAGAUACAGCAAGGAAGGCCUAGGCCCUCCCCCAAACAAUACGACAGACUUUGAAGGUCCCUGGUAGAGGACCUCACUAUCCCUGG
This 3893-nucleotide long non-coding RNA is filed under the name Cricetulus griseus (Chinese hamster). Its description in RNAcentral is "lncRNA (ENSCGRG00015035420.1)". The record is from RNAcentral. Lineage: Eukaryota; Metazoa; Chordata; Mammalia; Rodentia; Cricetidae.